This 696-nucleotide ribosomal RNA is filed under the name Escherichia coli. RNAcentral describes it as "partial 23S ribosomal RNA". It matches the Rfam family "Bacterial large subunit ribosomal RNA", at positions 2180 to 2870 of the family's 2925-position model. Lineage: Bacteria; Pseudomonadati; Pseudomonadota; Gammaproteobacteria; Enterobacterales; Enterobacteriaceae. The record is from RNAcentral.
AUGGAGCCGACCUUGAAAUACCACCCUUUAAUGUUUGAUGUUCUAACGUUGACCCGUAAUCCGGGUUGCGGACAGUGUCUGGUGGGUAGUUUGACUGGGGCGGUCUCCUCCUAAAGAGUAACGGAGGAGCACGAAGGUUGGCUAAUCCUGGUCGGACAUCAGGAGGUUAGUGCAAUGGCAUAAGCCAGCUUGACUGCGAGCGUGACGGCGCGAGCAGGUGCGAAAGCAGGUCAUAGUGAUCCGGUGGUUCUGAAUGGAAGGGCCAUCGCUCAACGGAUAAAAGGUACUCCGGGGAUAACAGGCUGAUACCGCCCAAGAGUUCAUAUCGACGGCGGUGUUUGGCACCUCGAUGUCGGCUCAUCACAUCCUGGGGCUGAAGUAGGUCCCAAGGGUAUGGCUGUUCGCCAUUUAAAGUGGUACGCGAGCUGGGUUUAGAACGUCGUGAGACAGUUCGGUCCCUAUCUGCCGUGGGCGCUGGAGAACUGAGGGGGGCUGCUCCUAGUACGAGAGGACCGGAGUGGACGCAUCACUGGUGUUCGGGUUGUCAUGCCAAUGGCACUGCCCGGUAGCUAAAUGCGGAAGAGAUAAGUGCUGAAAGCAUCUAAGCACGAAACUUGCCCCGAGAUGAGUUCUCCCUGACCCUUUAAGGGUCCUGAAGGAACGUUGAAGACGACGACGUUGAUAGGCCGGGUGUGU